GACGGGGGGGGCUAGCGUUGUUCGGAAUUACUGGGCGUAAAGCGCACGUAGGCGGAUUUGUAAGUCAGGGGUGAAAUCCCGGGGCUCAACCUCGGAACUGCCUUUGAUACUGCAAGUCUUGAGUCCGAUAGAGGUGAGUGGAAUUCCUAGUGUAGAGGUGAAAUUCGUAGAUAUUAGGAAGAACACCAGUGGCGAAGGCGGCUCACUGGAUCGGUACUGACGCUGAGGUGCGAAAGCGUGGGGAGCAAACAGG
This 253-nucleotide ribosomal RNA is filed under the name uncultured bacterium. RNAcentral describes it as "partial 16S ribosomal RNA". It matches the Rfam family "Bacterial small subunit ribosomal RNA", at positions 524 to 776 of the family's 1533-position model. The record is from RNAcentral.